GCUGCCAGGCAGGACGGGCUCCAGCUGCUCAAGGACAUCAAAAGCACCUUCAUCAGGUCAGUCCUUCCCUUCCCACUGGAAUCUCCUGGGAUUUUGGGGAUGGGGGGGGGGGAAAAUCCCACCCUGGGGGGGCUUUUCCAGCCUGGAACUGCCGGGAAUUCCUAAGGGGAAAU
This 173-nucleotide long non-coding RNA is filed under the name Manacus vitellinus (golden-collared manakin). RNAcentral's name for it is "lncRNA (ENSMVIG00005002793.1)". The record is from RNAcentral. Lineage: Eukaryota; Metazoa; Chordata; Aves; Passeriformes; Pipridae.